GCUUCUCCUUCGGGAGCAGAGUGACAGGUGGUGCAUGGUUGUCGUCAGCUCGUGUCGUGAGAUGUUGGGUUAAGUCCCGCAACGAGCGCAACCCUUGAUCUUAGUUGCCAUCAUUAAGUUGGGCACUCUAAGGUGACUGCCGGUGACAAACCGGAGGAAGGUGGGGAUGACGUCAAAUCAUCAUGCCCCUUAUGACCUGGGCUACACACGUGCUACAAUGGACGGUACAAAGAGCUGCAAGACCGCGAGGUGGAGCUAAUCUCAUAAAACCGUUCUCAGUUCGGAUUGUAGGCUGCAACUCGCCUACAUGAAGCUGGAAUCGCUAGUAAUCGCGGAUCAGCAUGCCGCGGUGAAUACGUUCCCGGGCCUUGUCCACACCGA
RNAcentral lists this ribosomal RNA (381 nucleotides) under Bacillus sp. A215. RNAcentral describes it as "bacterial SSU rRNA". It matches the Rfam family "Bacterial small subunit ribosomal RNA", at positions 1011 to 1393 of the family's 1533-position model. The record is from RNAcentral. Lineage: Bacteria; Bacillati; Bacillota; Bacilli; Caryophanales; Bacillaceae.